GGGGUUGUGGCUCAGUGGUAGAGCACUCACCUAGCAUGUGCAAGGCCCUGGGUUCGAUCCUCAGCACCACA
RNAcentral lists this transfer RNA (71 nucleotides) under Marmota monax (woodchuck). RNAcentral's name for it is "tRNA.Ala". It matches the Rfam family "tRNA". From Rfam's summary of the family: Transfer RNA (tRNA) molecules are approximately 80 nucleotides in length. The record is from RNAcentral. Lineage: Eukaryota; Metazoa; Chordata; Mammalia; Rodentia; Sciuridae.